GGGUCAGUAGGUUGGUCGUGCCACCGGUACGUACUGGUCUCACUGAUUCCUCCUUCCUGAAAAACCGUAAUGCCAUUAAUUUGGUGUUGCGGGGAAACAGGACUGUUACUUUGAAAAAAUUAGAGUGUUUAAAGCAAGCUAACGCUUGAAUACAUUAGCAUGGAAUAAUGAAAUAGGACAAUCGAUCCUAUUUUGUUGGUUUCUAGGAUUGACGUA
Molecule: ribosomal RNA, 216 nt
Filed under: Glomeromycotina sp.
Lineage: Eukaryota; Fungi; Glomeromycota
Description: partial small subunit ribosomal RNA
Rfam family: Eukaryotic small subunit ribosomal RNA (bases 40-216)
Source: RNAcentral